Mustela lutreola (European mink) is the source of this 715-nucleotide long non-coding RNA. RefSeq lists it as uncharacterized. The transcript is spliced from 4 exons. NCBI's taxonomy places the organism in Eukaryota, Metazoa, Chordata, Mammalia, Carnivora, Mustelidae. The record is from RefSeq and is a predicted model, not a curated record.
AAAGGCUGCUGGACAAAUGCCUUCUCAGGCUCCUUUUCCAGCUCUCAGGAAUCCCAAAGCCUAGCUGCCAGGGUCCCCUGGAAGCUCCUCCUUCCCCCUGUUCAACUGCCUUCCAGACUUGUAAAGCAUAUUCCCCACGCCAACCGGCUCUGCGCCAGGUCUGGACAUAGGAGACGGAGAUGGCGGAGACUUUGAGAUGUGACCCAACACGAAACUGAGUCUGUCCAGGAGAGAUCUGGGACUGGGGUCUGAGGCUGCCCGGAGCUACGGAGGGCCUUGUGGUAGAGAGGGUCUUUGGCUGAGCACAAAGGCACCCCCGGCAGGAAUCCAGGCUCGGAGUCCUGGGAGCUCCAUCCAUCCUUUGUGAACAUGGCUAUGGUAACUUGCCCAAGGCCGCUCAGGUGCUUUAUAUGUGGGCAUUGGCUCUUCUGUCUCCUGGGGCAGGACUAUCUCUACCAGUCACCAGGGACAGACAAUGCUCCAUCUCCGCUGGGAGCCUGAGCUCUUCCCUCCUGCCUGGCAGCACCGCUCCCUGGAUCCAGACCACAGAGCCCGCGCUGACCUUCCUCGCUGAACCUGGUGGCAGAGGUGAGGACACGGUGAGGAGGUGGCCAUUUGCGAGCCAAGAAGAGAGCUCUCACUGGAACCUGACCAUGCUGCUACCUUGAUCUUAGGCUUCCAGUCUUUAGAACCGUGAGAAAAUAAAGUUCUGUUG